RNAcentral lists this ribosomal RNA (535 nucleotides) under Clostridioides difficile. Its description in RNAcentral is "bacterial SSU rRNA". It matches the Rfam family "Bacterial small subunit ribosomal RNA", at positions 896 to 1430 of the family's 1533-position model. The record is from RNAcentral. Lineage: Bacteria; Bacillati; Bacillota; Clostridia; Peptostreptococcales; Peptostreptococcaceae.
GAAACUCAAAGGAAUUGACGGGGACCCGCACAAGUAGCGGAGCAUGUGGUUUAAUUCGAAGCAACGCGAAGAACCUUACCUAAGCUUGACAUCCCAAUGACAUCUCCUUAAUCGGAGAGUUCCCUUCGGGGACAUUGGUGACAGGUGGUGCAUGGUUGUCGUCAGCUCGUGUCGUGAGAUGUUGGGUUAAGUCCCGCAACGAGCGCAACCCUUGUCUUUAGUUGCCAUCAUUAAGUUGGGCACUCUAGAGAGACUGCCAGGGAUAACCUGGAGGAAGGUGGGGAUGACGUCAAAUCAUCAUGCCCCUUAUGCUUAGGGCUACACACGUGCUACAAUGGGUAGUACAGAGGGUUGCCAAGCCGUAAGGUGGAGCUAAUCCCUUAAAGCUACUCUCAGUUCGGAUUGUAGGCUGAAACUCGCCUACAUGAAGCUGGAGUUACUAGUAAUCGCAGAUCAGAAUGCUGCGGUGAAUGCGUUCCCGGGUCUUGUACACACCGCCCGUCACACCACGGGAGUUGGAGACGCCCGAAGCCGA